RNAcentral lists this ribosomal RNA (178 nucleotides) under Salmonella enterica subsp. enterica serovar Enteritidis. RNAcentral describes it as "partial 16S ribosomal RNA". It matches the Rfam family "Bacterial small subunit ribosomal RNA", at positions 1 to 170 of the family's 1533-position model. The record is from RNAcentral. Lineage: Bacteria; Pseudomonadati; Pseudomonadota; Gammaproteobacteria; Enterobacterales; Enterobacteriaceae.
UUAAAUUGAAGAGUUUGAUCAUGGCUCAGAUUGAACGCUGGCGGCAGGCCUAACACAUGCAAGUCGAACGGUAACAGGAAGCAGCUUGCUGCUUCGCUGACGAGUGGCGGACGGGUGAGUAAUGUCACUGAACCUGCCUGAUGGAGGGGGAUAAGUACUGGAAACGGUGGCUAAUACC